This is a long non-coding RNA of Zingiber officinale, 930 nucleotides long. RefSeq lists it as uncharacterized. NCBI's taxonomy places the organism in Eukaryota, Viridiplantae, Streptophyta, Magnoliopsida, Zingiberales, Zingiberaceae. The transcript is spliced from 4 exons. The record is from RefSeq and is a predicted model, not a curated record.
AAUUCCUAGAUUCGUCCCAAAAUCUGGGACGAAUCAAAGAUUCGUCCCAAAAAAUAAGCAAUGGAAAGAAAUUUUUUAAUUUAUAAGUUAACCCUAAAUCUCCUCCCACCCAUCUGCCCCUUCACUCAUCCCUUCACUACAACUCUUGCGGCGGCUGAUUCCUUCCCGAUCGGCUGCGGCACAGGUUUCAAUUUGGCAUGAUCUCAGUGUAGUUGAAGACAACUGUAUUUGUUCACGUCUUUUCGGUAAAAUGCAGAAUGAGCGAAGUUGGAUGUAUAACAAGAAUUCAAGUAUAAUGCAGAAUGAGGAAGAGGAGGAGGAGGAGGAGGAGGAGGAUGAUAAUCAUAAUGAUGACUUUAAUUUUUGACGAUGGGGUUGGUGAGGCGAACUAAAGGUCCGAGAAAAAAAGUAAGUAUUAAGUAACAUGUUAAACUUUUAAUUUUAUUUAUUUAUUUAUUUAUUUUCUAAUUGCUUUUAAUUUAUUGAAAUUUAUUACUACUGCUUUAUUAGUUCAAAUUGCAAAUUAUGAUUAGAGUUUACCUAACAACCAAGUAACCAUGAUUACUAAAACACUUGUAUCACAAAAAAAUUAAGUUUAAUUAGUUUGUGUUUUCUUCAUUUGAGCUAUUUUCAUAUGUUAGGAAAUUUUAAGAAUAUCUUUCAUGCUCUCCAUGUGAUCACAUGGACAUAGAAUAUUUGUAGCUAUUGAUUGAUAUGGUGAAAUAGGUAUUAUUAUAACAAUUUGAUGUGCCAUUUAUAUUAGGUUGUAUCAUAUUUACGAUGUUUUUACUUAGCUUCAAGAUACUUCUUAUAAUUUUAUGACAUGGAUGGUUCAUAUCGUUGGUAAAUAGGACAUUUAUUUGAAUGUUUAAGGAAUUUCACAGUUAUGUCUUGUUUCCAAUCUUUCUUGUUACAUGGGCAUUUCGUAUU